UUUUAAUUUGAGUUUUAGGAUUGAUUUGAUGAAAGUUAAUGGCUAAUAUUAUUAGCUAAUUAUAAAUUUUCAGCAAAUCAACUCUAAAACACGAAUUAAAC
Molecule: non-coding RNA, 101 nt
Organism: Gossypium raimondii (Peruvian cotton)
Lineage: Eukaryota; Viridiplantae; Streptophyta; Magnoliopsida; Malvales; Malvaceae
Source: Rfam